RNAcentral lists this transfer RNA (65 nucleotides) under Sceloporus jarrovii (Yarrow's spiny lizard). RNAcentral's name for it is "tRNA-Cys". Lineage: Eukaryota; Metazoa; Chordata; Lepidosauria; Squamata; Phrynosomatidae. The record is from RNAcentral.
AGCCUCGAGGUGUUUACACAUCAAAAUGCAAGUUUGAAGUAGGGCCCUCAAUGGCCCCGGGGCUU